Molecule: transfer RNA, 73 nt
Filed under: Actinomycetes bacterium
Lineage: Bacteria; Bacillati; Actinomycetota; Actinomycetes
Also listed under: 2 other names
Description: tRNA-Trp
Rfam family: tRNA
About the family: Transfer RNA (tRNA) molecules are approximately 80 nucleotides in length. Their secondary structure includes four short double-helical elements and three loops (D, anti-codon, and T loops). Further hydrogen bonds mediate the characteristic L-shaped molecular structure. tRNAs have two regions of fundamental functional importance: the anti-codon, which is responsible for specific mRNA codon recognition, and the 3' end, to which the tRNAs corresponding amino acid is attached (by aminoacyl-tRNA synthetases). tRNAs cope with the degeneracy of the genetic code in two manners: having more than one tRNA (with a specific anti-codon) for a particular amino acid; and 'wobble' base-pairing, i.e. permitting non-standard base-pairing at the 3rd anti-codon position.
Source: RNAcentral
AGGGCAGUAGCUCAGUUGGAAGAGCAUCGGUCUCCAAAACCGAGUGUCGGGGGUUCGAGUCCCUCCUGCCCUG